This 497-nucleotide ribosomal RNA is filed under the name uncultured bacterium. Its description in RNAcentral is "partial 16S ribosomal RNA". It matches the Rfam family "Bacterial small subunit ribosomal RNA", at positions 28 to 507 of the family's 1533-position model. The record is from RNAcentral.
GAUGAACGCUGGCGGCGUGCCUAAUACAUGCAAGUCGAGCGAACGGACGAGAAGCUUGCUUCUCUGAUGUUAGCGGCGGACGGGUGAGUAACACGUGGAUAACCUACCUAUAAGACUGGGAUAACUUCGGGAAACCGUAGCUAAUACCGGAUAAUAUUUUGAACCGCAUGGUUCAAAAGUGAAAGACGGUCUUGCUGUCACUUAUAGAUGGAUCCGCGCUGCAUUAGCUAGUUGGUAAGGUAACGGCUUACCAAGGCAACGAUGCAUAGCCGACCUGGGCGGGGGAUCGGCCACACGGGAGCUGAGACACGGUCCAGAGUCCUGCGGGAGGCAGCAGUAGGGAAUCUUCCGCAAUGGGCGAAAGCCUGACAGAGCAACGGCACGUGAGUGAUGAAAGUCUUCGGAUCGUAAAACUCUGUUAUUAGGGAAGAACAUAUGUGUAAGUAACUGUGCACAUCUUGACGGUACCUAAUCAGAAAGCCACGGCUAACUACGUG